This 501-nucleotide ribosomal RNA is filed under the name Triticum aestivum (bread wheat). RNAcentral describes it as "partial small subunit ribosomal RNA". The record is from RNAcentral. Lineage: Eukaryota; Viridiplantae; Streptophyta; Magnoliopsida; Poales; Poaceae.
AUGUUUCUCGUUUAUGGAGGUGACGAAGAGCUCGUCGUAAAGGGUUACGUCGAUGCUAGCUUCGACACAGAUCUGGAUGACUCUAAGUCACAAACCGGAUAUGUGUAUAUUUUGAAUGGUGGGGCAGUCAGCUGGUGCAGUUGCAAGCAAAGCGUCGUGGCGGGAUCUACAUGUGAAGCGGAGUACAUGGCAGCCUCGGAGGCAGCACAUGAAGCAAUCUGGAUGAAGGAGUUCAUUGCUGACCUAGGAGUUAUUCCCAAUGCAUCGGGGCCGAUGACUCUCUUCUGUGAUAACACUGGAGCUAUUGCCCUUGCCAAGCAGCCCAGGUUUCACAAGAAGACCAGGCACAUCAAGCGUCGCUUCAACUCCAUUCGUGAAAAUGUUCAAAAUGGAGACAUAGAUAUUUGUAAAGUGCAUACGGAUUUGAAUGUCGCAGAUCCGUUGACUAAACCUCUUCCACGGGCGAAACAUGAUCAACACCAGAGCUCUAUGGGUGUAUGA